Gasterosteus aculeatus aculeatus (three-spined stickleback) is the source of this 306-nucleotide long non-coding RNA. RefSeq lists it as uncharacterized. NCBI's taxonomy places the organism in Eukaryota, Metazoa, Chordata, Actinopteri, Perciformes, Gasterosteidae. The record is from RefSeq and is a predicted model, not a curated record.
UGUCGACGGUUUGUUCAGCUGCCGUUAGCGCCGGAGGCCUCACCGGACCUCACCGAGUGAUGACGCGGCGACGAAGACUGGAUCCGCGAAAACCACCAUGUAUUUCUGCAGCCUCCAUCCCCACAGAUCUUCUUCUCCUGCUCCUCGCCGUGUCUUGACUUGCAGUCCCGAGGGUUCCUGGCUCACCUGACUCCACCUGCAACUGCGUGCUUGGCGGGCUGCUGCACUCCUCAUUCGAGGCCACUGCGACCACAUCAUAGGUCUGACCACACUCCAGCUCCUUCAGCUCGCAGUUGGUGAAGUCGG